GAAGAAAGAGGGAGGAGGGUGGAACACAUGCAAGUCGAACGGAAAGGCCCUGCUUUUGUGGGGUGCUCGAGUGGCGAACGGGUGAGUAACACGUGAGUAACCUGCCCUUGACUUUGGGAUAACUUCAGGAAACUGGGGCUAAUACCGGAUAGGAGCUCCUGCUGCAUGGUGGGGGUUGGAAAGUUUCGGCGGUUGGGGAUGGACUCGCGGCUUAUCAGCUUGUUGGUGGGGUAGUGGCUUACCAAGGCUUUGACGGGUAGCCGGCCUGAGAGGGUGACCGGCAACAUUGGGACUGAGAUACGGCCCAGACUCCUACGGGAGGCAGCAGUGGGGAAUAUGGCACAAGGGGCGGAAGCCGGAUGCAGCAACGCCGCGUGCGGGAUGACGGCCUUCGGGUUGUAAACCGCUUUCGCCUGUGACGAAGCGUGAGUGACGGUAAUGGGUAAAGAAGCACCGGCUAACUACGUC
This 468-nucleotide ribosomal RNA is filed under the name uncultured bacterium. RNAcentral describes it as "partial 16S ribosomal RNA". It matches the Rfam family "Bacterial small subunit ribosomal RNA", at positions 38 to 507 of the family's 1533-position model. The record is from RNAcentral.